GGGGGUGAAUUAGGGUCGACGAACGGUUGAAUGGGUACUUGCAUCUCGGUUGGACGCAGCCGUUAUCUGCUCAAAUGUACAGUUGCCAACGACAACCGUGCUCCGGUGGCUCUGGCUGCGUAAGCAGCUCGGGUACCGAAACCUAAAGUCCUUACGCUUAGCCGCUUAAGGCGGGGCUCGCAGGUGCCUGGCAACAGAAACCUGCACU
This 208-nucleotide transfer-messenger RNA is filed under the name Rhodobacter capsulatus SB 1003. Its description in RNAcentral is "transfer-messenger RNA Rhodo_capsu_SB100". It matches the Rfam family "Alphaproteobacteria transfer-messenger RNA", at positions 148 to 355 of the family's 355-position model. Rfam says of the family: Bacterial tmRNA, also known as 10Sa RNA or SsrA, is named for its dual tRNA and mRNA-like properties. Its role is to liberate the mRNA from a stalled ribosome. Lineage: Bacteria; Pseudomonadati; Pseudomonadota; Alphaproteobacteria; Rhodobacterales. The record is from RNAcentral.